This 446-nucleotide ribosomal RNA is filed under the name uncultured bacterium. RNAcentral's name for it is "partial 16S ribosomal RNA". It matches the Rfam family "Bacterial small subunit ribosomal RNA", at positions 338 to 795 of the family's 1533-position model. The record is from RNAcentral.
CCUACGGGUGGCUGCAGUCGAGAAUCAUUCACAAUGGGGGAAACCCUGAUGGUGCGACGCCGCGUGGGGGAAUGAAGGUCUUCGGAUUGUAAACCCCUGUCAUGUGGGAGCAAAUUAAAAAGAUAGUACCACAAGAGGAAGAGACGGCUAACUCUGUGCCAGCAGCCGCGGUAAUACAGAGGUCUCAAGCGUUGUUCGGAAUCACUGGUCGUAAAGGGUGCGUAGGCUGGUUCGUAAGUCGGGUGUGAAAGGCGGGGGCUCAACCCGAGAAAGGCAAUUGAUACUGGGAGACUGGAGUAAAGGUGAGGGAGGCGGAAUUCGCGGUGUAGCGGUGAAAUGCUUAGAUAUCAAGAAGAACACUGAUGGCGAAGGCAGGUUACUAAACAGUAACUGACACUGAUGCUCGAAAGCGAGGGUAUCAAAAAGGAUUAGAUACUCUAGUAGUC